AGUGAACGCUGGCGGUAGGCCUAACACAUGCAAGUCGAACGGCAGCACAGUAAGAGUUUGCUCUUACGGGUGGCGAGUAGCGGACGGGUGAGGAAUACAUCGGCAUUUACAUUUUCGCGGGGGAUAACGUCGGGAAACUUACGCUAAUACCGCAUACGAUCUACGGGUGAAAUCAGGGGAUCUUCGGACUUUGCGCGAGUGAAUGAGCCGAUGUCGGAUUAGCUAGUUGGCGGGGUAAAGGCCCACCAAGUCGACGAUCCUUAGCCGGCCUGAAAGGAGGAGCUGCCACCCUGGAUCUGUGACACGGACCAGAGUCCUGCUGGAGGCACCAGUGGGGGAUUUUGGACAAUGGUCGCAAGCUUGAUGCAGCCAUACCGGGUCGUUCAUGAAGCCCUUCGGGUUGUCAAGCCCUUUUGUUGGGAUAGAAAAGCAUCGAGUUUAUACCACGCGGUUUUGACGGUACCCGAAGUAUAAGCACCUGCUAACUUCGUG
This 492-nucleotide ribosomal RNA is filed under the name uncultured bacterium. RNAcentral describes it as "partial 16S ribosomal RNA". It matches the Rfam family "Bacterial small subunit ribosomal RNA", at positions 29 to 507 of the family's 1533-position model. The record is from RNAcentral.